This is a long non-coding RNA of Grus americana (Whooping crane), 813 nucleotides long. RefSeq lists it as uncharacterized. The transcript is spliced from 2 exons. Lineage: Eukaryota; Metazoa; Chordata; Aves; Gruiformes; Gruidae. The record is from RefSeq and is a predicted model, not a curated record.
CCAGCCCGGCCGGCCAUCCGUGCCCUCCUCCGCCUGGGCAGGCGGCUCUCCCCGCUCAGGAAGCCCCGAGCCGAGCCCUGACAGGGAGCUCAGUACCUAGCACCCGCCCUGCCUAGACGCUGGGGGAGCUGCCGGCGGGGAGCGGCCGGUGUCCCCUCAGCGAUAAACCCCUCUCGCCCCAUACGGGCCAGAGAAACCUCUCCGCGUCCCGAGGUACAAAGGGCAGGCCGGACCGACCGGCGGUGCGGGCCCCUGGGCGGCCUCCUGUCCCCUCAGGCGUUGAGGAAACGCUAAUCCCGGGCUUACCCAGCCCUGCCCUGCUUAACCGCCCGACGCUUCCCGCUCCUCCGCUUCCCCGCUCCCGCAGCAGCGGCCGUCUUGGCCAUGGCCGAAGGACAGUGAUUUUAAUGCAGUUAAAUGACUUUAAAACAUCUGUAUGAAUGACUUUGCGUGUGCUGGAAGAGUACCUGAUGGUGACAGCAGCGUCAGUGCAACCGCAAUGCCUGUCUGAUGCCCCAUGCAGCCUGAAGGUUUUGUCCUGGGAGUGUGAGGACAGUUAAUGUGGAGUUACACAGUCUGAUUCUUUUUUACAUGGUGUUCAGUAUGAAGACUGUCGUGAUCUCUAAAACAUCAAUAAACAAAUACAUAACGAAGUUGGAAUUUCAAUAAAUUGAUGCCACCAGACUGAGCAAUCUUUCUUUUUGGAGCUGGAUGUCUUGUCACACCUUACAUGAAAUGCCUUCCCCCCCCCAUAUAUGGCAAAAAUUUCCUUUUUUUUUUUCCCUGAAGGAAAAUAAACAAUAGCUAGAUGUA